Lemur catta (Ring-tailed lemur) is the source of this 420-nucleotide long non-coding RNA. RefSeq lists it as uncharacterized. The transcript is spliced from 3 exons. NCBI's taxonomy places the organism in Eukaryota, Metazoa, Chordata, Mammalia, Primates, Lemuridae. The record is from RefSeq and is a predicted model, not a curated record.
UCCCGGCAGUCGCUGACAUGAGGCAACCUCUGGCCUGGCAGCAAGGAGAAGGUUCGAAUCCCGGCGGCCCCGGACCUGCUCCUCUGGAUAUCAUCGGGCUGAGAUAGCAGCGGAUGGAUGUCACCCUUAGCAGGGUUGCUCAAUCCUUGAACAAACAGGGAAACUUCUUUAUUUAAAUCCAACUAACUUCCCGCGAAGCAGCACCCCCUCAGGCCCCUGAGUUGAGCCCCAGCUUGAAGUAAAAGUCAAGAAUCCCAGCUCUCUGGCUGGCAGUUGCUACCAACUAGUCCAACCUGACCACAGGCACGAAAAUUAAUGAGCUCCAUCUUUGGCAUGGGUUUGAAAAUUCCACUGUGGCAUUGGCAGGGCUUACACCGGCACCGGAACUUUAAAGAAGCCCCACGCUGAAAGCUACAAGGA